CAUUGUGAUCUGGGUGCUGUCAUCUGUCACCCCAUUGCUCCCCAGGGUUGAUUUGGCUGAUCUGGCUGGCUAGGCAGGUGUCCCCUUCCUCCCUCAACAUACCACAUCCAUCCGUCCCAAUGCUGCAUGCUCGGUCAAAGAGGACGACCUUCCCUGAUAGAGGAGGACCGGGCUUCCGUCACGGAUAUCUGAGUAGGUCUGCUCCCCUACUAGAACCUCCAAACACACUUCUCAAAGCAACAUUGUAUAGAAUAAUACAAAAAUCAUUCUUGCUGGGCGUGGUGGUGCACGCCUUUAAUCCCAG
This 304-nucleotide small nuclear RNA is filed under the name Nannospalax galili (Upper Galilee mountains blind mole rat). RNAcentral describes it as "7SK RNA (ENSNGAG00000004865.1)". It matches the Rfam family "7SK RNA". From Rfam's summary of the family: 7SK was discovered as an abundant small nuclear RNA in the mid-70s but a possible function has only recently been suggested. Two independent studies have found that 7SK RNA binds the CDK9/cyclin T complex (known as elongation factor P-TEFb). Lineage: Eukaryota; Metazoa; Chordata; Mammalia; Rodentia; Spalacidae. The record is from Rfam by way of RNAcentral.